This 433-nucleotide ribosomal RNA is filed under the name uncultured bacterium. RNAcentral's name for it is "partial 16S ribosomal RNA". It matches the Rfam family "Bacterial small subunit ribosomal RNA", at positions 29 to 507 of the family's 1533-position model. The record is from RNAcentral.
AACGAACGCUGGCGGCAUGCCUAACACAUGCAAGUCGAACGAGACCUUCGGGUCUAGUGGCGCACGGGUGCGUAACGCGUGGGAACCUGCCCUUAGGUUCGGAAUAACUCCCCGAAAGGGGUGCUAAUACCGGAUAAUGUCUUCGGACCAAAGAUUUAUCGCCUUUGGAUGGGCCCGCGUUGGAUUAGCUAGUUGGUAGGGUAAAAGCCUACCAAGGCGACGAUCCAUAGCUGGUCUGAGAGGAUGAUCAGCCACACUGGGACUGAGACACGGCCCAGACUCCUACGGGAGGCAGCAGUGGGGAAUAUUGGACAAUGGGGGAAAGCCUGAUCCAGCAAUGCCGGGUAAGUGAUGAAGGCCUUAGGGUUGUAAAGCUCUUUUACCCGGGAUGAUAAUGACGGUACCGGGAGAAUAAGCUCCGGCUAACUCCGUG